RNAcentral lists this long non-coding RNA (3121 nucleotides) under Arabidopsis lyrata. RNAcentral's name for it is "long non-coding RNA (ALYR_LNC000894)". The record is from RNAcentral. Lineage: Eukaryota; Viridiplantae; Streptophyta; Magnoliopsida; Brassicales; Brassicaceae.
GAGUGCAAUGAUGUGUUUGGCUUAGACGAUGAACUUCUCGAGAUGGUUCCAAAGCCUGUUCUUGCUGUUCUCUUUCUUUACCCAAUCACCAAAAAGGUCUCUCCUUUGUAAUAAUCCAUCUAUGAUUCUGAUAAAUUUCUGCUUGUAAUUGAUUGAAAAGCCCUUCAUUUUUGCUCUGUAGUGUGAAGAAGAGAGAAUCAAGCAAGACAAAGAAAUUAAGGAAAAGGUAAGUUUCUGUCUGAUCAACAUCUGAUUUGUUCUAAUAAAAAGGAACCCUUGUCUUUGUAGAUAACUCUCGUUCAUGUUUUGUGUGGAUGAAUGAUAGGUACAUCAGACUGACAAAGUCUACUUCAUGAAACAAACUGUGGAUAAUGCUUGUGGAACCAUUGGGCUCCUUCAUGCUAUUGGGAAUAUAACCUCUGAGAUCAAACUCUGUGAGUUAUAUAUACUCAGGCUUUCUAUGUGCUUCUUCUUUAAUCAUAGGAUAUGAAUCCUUAUCGAUUUUCACUUUUGAUUUCUUUUUACAGCCGAGGGAUCGUUCUUGGAUAGAUUCUUCAAAUCCACUGCCAAUAUGACUCCUAUAGAGGUGUUUCUCUAUCUUCUCUUUCUCAUCUAUAUUUGAUCUUCCUUAGAGUGUUUGCUUUGUGUUUAAUGUUUCUGAUAGCGUGCAAGGUUUCUUGAGAAUGACAGUCAAAUAGAAGAUGCUCAUUCUGUAGCUGUUAUAGCUGGUGAUACAACGGUAACUUCUCAUCUCCCAUUCAUGCUAAUGUAUUUGUGACUAGUUCAUUUAGAUCUUACAUUGGUUAUUUUUAUGUUUACCCAUCUUCAGGCUUCAGACGAGGUGGACACGCAUUUCAUCUGUUUAGCUUGUGUAGAUGGUAACAAUUUUCAUAUCAACACCAAAAUGAAAAUACUGAAAUCAAACUCACUUCCAAAAGUAGCACUAAAUUGUGACACUCUAUAAUGCAGGUGAGCUCUAUGAACUUGAUGGAGAUAGGGCAGGACCAAUUUCACAUGGUGUUUCCUCUCCAGCUACUUUGUUGCAGGUACUAUAAACCCUUCACUCUUUAAACUUAAAGAGUUAUCAAAACGUCAAAAUAAUCCAAGAAAACACAAUGGUUGUGUAUAGAACAAUACCUAUAUAUACUUGAAUAGCUUUGAUGUAUAUCUUCGGGUGAUAUUAUACUCGCAGGACGCAGCAAAAGUGAUAAAGACGAUAAUCGAGAAGAAUCCGGAUUCUCUCAACUUCAAUGUGAUAGCCAUCUCUAAGAAAGCCUGAGUGACUGUUCUUAAGAAGCAAAGCUCCUAAGUCUUGUUUUUGAGUUUAUGACUGACUCGUUUUGUUGCUUUUGUAUAUUCUGAAUCUUCUGGUUUAUAGAGAAUCCAUAUUUGUAGUUGUAGAACAACAACUUUCCUUGGAAGAGUGCCAUUUUAUUGAUAUUGAAUCGAUCGACCUAUGUUUUUUUUGGUCAAGAAACAUAUUAAAAUGGGCCAAGGCCCGUUAAUAGCACUAAUGGGCUUCACUCUCGGAUUUUGAGGGAUUCGUAUCUUGGAGCCGAAGUGUUUUCUUAUAGAAAGAUCAAAGAUUGAUUUCUUCUGCAAAAUUCGAUCGAAAGUGACGAAGAAAGAUCCGAAGAUGGCGACCGCAAGCGAGAGUUAUUCAGCUAAGAGAUGGCUUCCACUUGAAUCUAACCCAGAUGUGAUGAAUCAGGUAUUGCUCCACUCUCCGGUUUUUCCGAUUUUCCUCUCUGGUUCCGCAAAUUACUCCUCCGAUCACCGGAAUUUCGAAAUCGGGAGGAAUCUAGGUCAGUUAUGUGUGUUUUAAUCCGUAUUGGUAUGUACAGUAUCUUUGGGGACUUGGUCUUGCCCCUGAUGCAGCAGAGUGCAAUGAUGUGUUUGGCUUAGACGACGAACUUCUAGAGAUGGUUCCAAAGCCUGUUCUUGCUGUUCUCUUCCUUUACCCCAUCACCACAAAGGUUCUCUUCUUUUUUAUUUUCAAUUUCAAAUCCAUCUAUGAUUCUGUGUAAAUUUCUGAUUGUAUUUGAAACCUUGUGAUCUUGCUUUAUAGAGUGAAGAAGAGAGAAUCGAGCAAGACAAGGAAAUCAAGGAAAAGGUUAGUUUCUGAUUGUUCUACAUCAAAAAGAACCUUUGUUUCUGUAAUCGAGUCUUAUUUUGAUUCUGCGUUGAUGAAUGAUAGGUGCAUAGUGAUAAAGUUUACUUCAUGAAACAAACUGUUGGUAAUGCUUGUGGAACCAUUGGCCUUCUUCAUGCUAUUGGGAAUAUAACCUCUGAAAUCAAACUCUGUGAGUUUUUCAAACUCUUUACGUGUUUCUUCUUUAAUCGUAGGAUAUGAAUUCUUAUUGAUUGUUACCUUCUCCUUGCUUUUAAGCCGAGGGAUCGUUCUUGGAUAGAUUCUUCAAAUCCACUGCCAACAUGACUCCCAUGGAGGUGUUUUUUCUUAUCUCUAUAUUAUUAACUAUUAACAAUUCUGAGUGUUUGCUUUGCGUCUAAUGUUUCUAUGGAAAAUUUGAUAGCGUGCAAAGUAUCUUGAGAAUGACAGUCAAAUAGAAGAUGCUCAUUCUGUAGCUGUUUCAGCGGGUGAUACAGCUGUAAGUUCUCACCUCCCAUUGAUGCUAAUUUAUCUGUGUAACUUGUUCAUUUAAGUGUUACGUUGGUUUUAAACUUUUUCCCAUCUUCAGGCUUCAGACGAUGCGGUCACGCAUUUCAUCUGUUUAGCUUGUGUAGAAGGUAACGAAUUCUCACAUCAACCACCAAAAUGAGAAUAGUGAAAUCAAACUCACUUCUGAAUUGACACUAAAUUAUGGCACUCCUCCUUGCAUUAUCAUAUAACGUAGGUGAGCUCUAUGAACUUGAUGGAAGAAAGGCAGGACCGAUUUCACACGGUGCUUCCUCUCCAGCUACCCUCUUGAAGGUACUAUAAAAAACCUUCAUUCUUGAAGCUUAAUUUCACCCGAGUGUUGAAGAAUUAGGGGAAUAUGCAAUCGUUUUGUUUUAGAUGAACUGGUAAACAUUUGCAUUUGUGUAUUAAACUUCGCAGGACGCAACGAUAGUGAUAAAGAAAAUGAUUGAGAAGAACCCAGAUUCUCUGAACUUCAAUCUG